Molecule: ribosomal RNA, 913 nt
Filed under: uncultured Lentimicrobium sp.
Lineage: Bacteria; Pseudomonadati; Bacteroidota; Bacteroidia; Bacteroidales; Lentimicrobiaceae
Description: bacterial SSU rRNA
Rfam family: Bacterial small subunit ribosomal RNA
Source: RNAcentral
AGAGUUUGAUCCUGGCUCAGGAUGAACGCUAGCGGCAGGCUUAAUACAUGCAAGUCGAACGGGAUUCGGGGUAGCAAUACUUUGAUGAGAGUGGCGCACGGGUGCGUAACGCGUAUGCAACCUACCUUUAACAGGGGAAUAGCCCCGAGAAAUCGGGAUUAAUACUCCGUAACAUUGCGGUGUGGCAUCACACUGCAAUUAAAGAUUUAUCGGUUAAAGAUGGGCAUGCGUGACAUUAGCUAGUUGGUGAGGUAACGGCUCACCAAGGCAGCGAUGUCUAGGGGUCCUGAGAGGGUUAUCCCCCACACUGGUACUGAGACACGGACCAGACUCCUACGGGAGGCAGCAGUAAGGAAUAUUGGUCAACGGGCGCAAGCCUGAACCAGCCAUGCCGCGUGCAGGAAGACGGCCCUAUGGGUUGUAAACUGCUUUUAUCAGGGAAUAAACCCCCGCUCGUGAGCGGGGCUGAAGGUACCUGAAGAAUAAGCAUCGGCUAACUCCGUGCCAGCAGCCGCGGUAAUACGGAGGAUGCAAGCGUUAUCCGGAUUCAUUGGGUUUAAAGGGUGCGCAGGCGGAUUGGUAAGUCAGGGGUGAAAUCCCACAGCUCAACUGUGGAACUGCCUUUGAUACUGUCAGUCUAGAGUAUAGUUGAAGUUGGCGGAAUGUGUCAUGUAGCGGUGAAAUGCUUAGAUAUGACACAGAACACCGAUCGCGAAGGCAGCUAGCUAAGCUAUAACUGACGCUCAUGCACGAAAGCGUGGGGAUCAAACAGGAUUAGAUACCCUGGUAGUCCACGCUGUAAACGAUGAUUACUCGAUGUUGGCGAUACACAGUCAGCGUCUGAGCGAGAGCAAUAAGUAAUCCACCUGGGGAGUACGAUCGCAGAUUGAAACUCAAAGGAAUUGACGGGGCC